UACAUGGGAUCAAAUAAGCUGCCUUGACAUAGUUUUGAAACCUGAACGUCAUAUGUUUCUCAGGCUCCUAGAGCCCCAACCCGUCUUAAGUUGGCAGCCUCAGAUCCCUGCUAAAUGACCAUAUUCCUUCCCAAAGACAGUUCUCAGAUGGGCCUUUGUUGGUAAAGACACUCCACACAUGGGUACAGCCUCGAUAAAAUAUUUAUCCCCGCAGAGAAAGUAUAUCCAAACAUAAUGUAGUAAGAGAUUUCCCAAAUCCAAGGGCAUUAAAUAUUAAAACUCAGUUUUCUAGUUACACAUUAGCCUUAAAUACCAGAGUGCAACACAAAAUUAUCACAGAACGCAGGAAAAGGAGACGAGAAAGGCUGCAGAUGGGCAGCCAGGUGGGCCGGGGCACAGGGCAGGGCCCGAAAGGGUCCCCAGCCCAGGAGCUUCUGUCCCCGUGGAGUGGGGGGCACCACCCUCCCGGCACCGGGAACUGCUCUGGACCCGUAGUCCAGGCCUUCUUAUGGAGGCUCCAUCACAGACGUGAAGGAUGAUGGUGGAUGAUCCCUGGAGGAGGGUGGGUGCAGGGUUGAAGCUGCAGGUGCUAAUCCUGGCUGGUCUCUCUGGUGACCGGCCCCCCUCCAGGAGCCACCAAGCCUCACCUCAUUUGAACGAAAGAAUCUGCUGCCAUCACACAGGAAAUCUGAGGGCUUUUGGAGCCCUCUGCUGGGUCUCGGGAGCAGAGACCAGAUCUAUUCAUUUCUCAUUUCAUCACCCCAUCUUGCCAGGUAGAGACGGUGUCUGUGUCUGGGCUCCCAGGCUGGACCCCAGAGGCCUGCUGUAUAUGCGCCCGCUGGCGUUGCCAUCAUGGGGCACUCUCACGGGCGGCUUAAACAGCGGGAAAGGAGGAGGGAAGGCCGAGAUCAAGGUGCGGCCGGAGCUGGUUCCUCGGAGGGCACCCCGCGUGGCCGUAUGUGGUCAUCUUCUUGUCUGUGUCUCGGUGUCUAAAUGUGCCCAUCUUAUAUGGACACCAGCCAUGGGGUUUAGAGCCCACCCUGGGACCUCCUGUUAAACGGAUCACCUCUGCGAAGAUCCUGUCUCCAAAUAAGGUCACAUCCUGAGGCUGUGGGACUAGGACUCCAGCAUAAGAGUUUCAGGGGGACACAGUUCAAUCCAUGACACUUGCUUAACCAGAAGGUGGUGAGAAUUCUGAACAUUUAUAAUUUCACCAGGUGAAAGCCAGGAAGAUGGUUGAACUGUUGUUUAAAACAUCUCGGAAUAUAUACAUGAGCAGAAUGAGCAGAACAGAAUUUAAAGAUAGAGCUUCUUCCAGCGCAGAAAUGGCAGUUGCAUCAUACCCUGUUUAGCAUCAUGGCUUCCAGCUAACCACCCAUCCAUUCACUGGAAAAUAUUUUUGAAGCCUUGCUGUGUCAUUAGAGCAGAGCCUCGUUCUGAACUCCUGGUCCAGCGGGUCCCGCUGCUGAGGCUGCUGCAGCUCACGGUGCACUUGGACAGCAGCAGCACUCUCUCCUCUGAGGCCUCUCUCUUCAACGUUUUGCCCCCAAUAGAGAACCUGAGAAGACAGAGGACAAGUUUUCCUCUGACAUGAGGAUGUGUGAGUGACUGUCGUAGCUCUUUAACAGCAGCGUCUACUUCUCCUGUGCUGAGGUGUGCAGAGAGAGAGGGCGGCCUGCAGGAAGGGGUGCAGGUGCAGGUACUGCAGGGUGCGGCAGGGCAGAAGAAGCCUGCCCUCUGAAAUGCAGGCCCUGGAGAGCCAGAAAAUCCCGGAGUCCCAUGGAGGAAGGAUGCAUCCUCUUGAGAUGGCUGCGGACCCCCUGCUGGGGAAGUGAGACCCACGGACCUCUCUUCAGCCCUGGUCUCACCCGGAGCCCUCCCAGUUUAUCCACAGUCACGGGGCCAUCCGCAAGUCCAUCCUGCCCAUCUUAAUUUUCCUUAAAAGCUGCAUUGCCUUCUAACUUCAAAUCAUUAGCAUAGAGUUGUGCAAAACGUUAUCCGAGGAUCUGAGGAUCAAGCACUUUAAUUCUCUCUGUCUGUGGUCAGUCUCACGUUCCCAGUCCUAAUUUUGUGCAUUGACAUUUUCUUUGAUUUGUUUUUCUUGCUUUAAUUAUCAGGUGGUUUAGCA
Long non-coding RNA from Nomascus leucogenys (northern white-cheeked gibbon), 2128 nucleotides. RefSeq lists it as uncharacterized. Lineage: Eukaryota; Metazoa; Chordata; Mammalia; Primates; Hylobatidae. The record is from RefSeq and is a predicted model, not a curated record. The transcript is spliced from 4 exons.